RNAcentral lists this unclassified non-coding RNA (300 nucleotides) under uncultured fungus. RNAcentral describes it as "sequence contains ITS2". Lineage: Eukaryota; Fungi. The record is from RNAcentral.
AACGCAAAUUGCACUUUCCGGUUUUCCGGGGAGUAUGCCUGUUUGAGGGUCGUUAAAAUAAAUAAUCGAUUUGUUGUUUACCUUUGUAGUAACAUUUCGGAAUUGAGUCGUCUUUGUAUCUUUUGAUCUUAAGAGGCUUAAAAUUGAAUCAUUUUGGUAUGAUUUGAGCGUACUUAAGAUUUCUUUAUUGCGCUUGGUGAAUAUCGAUUUUAUUAGGGAUGACCAUUGAUCAUGGUUUCAUACCUAUAAUCAUCUUCUGAUUUCGACCUCAAAUCAGGUAGGAAUACCCGCUGAACUUAA